Molecule: ribosomal RNA, 1345 nt
Filed under: marine sediment metagenome
Description: bacterial LSU rRNA
Rfam family: Bacterial large subunit ribosomal RNA
Source: RNAcentral
GCUUCCAGGAAAAGCCUCGUAUUCAUUCAGCAAGGUGACCGUACCGCAAACCGACACAGGUAGGCAGGAAGAGUAUUCCAAGGCGCUUGAGAGAACUCUGGUUAAGGAACUCGGCAAAAUAGCACCGUAACUUCGGGAGAAGGUGUGCCCCCAUCAGGUGAAACGAUUCGCACGUCGAGCCGAAGGGGGUUGCAGUGAAAUGGGGGGAGCGACUGUUUACUAAAAACACAGGACUCUGCGAAGUCGUAAGACGAUGUAUAGGGUCUGACGCCUGCCCGGUGCUGGAAGGUUAAGGGGACGUGUUAGUCUUAGGGCGAAGCACUGAACCGAAGCCCCAGUAAACGGCGGCCGUAACUAUAACGGUCCUAAGGUAGCGAAAUUCCUUGUCGGGUAAGUUCCGACCUGCACGAAUGGCGUAACGAUUUCCCCACUGUCUCAACCAGAGACUCAGCGAAACUGUAGUACCGGUGAAGAUGCCGGUUACCCGCAACAAGACAGAAAGACCCCGUGCACCUUUACUACAGCUUGGCAUUGUAGUUUGGGCUAUCAUGUGUAGGAUAGGUGGGAGACUUUGAAGCGGUCACGCCAGUGGUCGUGGAGUCAAUCUUGAAAUACCACCCUUGCUAUCUUAGACUACUAACCCAGAUCCGUAAUCCGGAUCGGGGACAGUGUCUGGUGGGUAGUUUGGCUGGGGCGGUCGCCUCCUAAAGUGUAACGGAGGCGCGCGAAGGUUCCCUCAGGUUGAUUGGAAACCAACCGAAGAGUGUAAAGGCAUAAGGGAGCUUGACUGCGAGACUGACAAGUCGAGCAGGUACGAAAGUAGGUCUUAGUGAUCCGGCGGUCCCGUAUGGAAGGGCCGUCGCUCAACGGAUAAAAGGUACGCCGGGGAUAACAGGCUUAUCUCCCCCAAGAGUCCAUAUCGACGGGGAGGUUUGGCACCUCGAUGUCGGCUCAUCGCAUCCUGGGGCUGGAGCAGGUCCCAAGGGUUUGGCUGUUCGCCAAUUAAAGCGGUACGUGAGCUGGGUUUAAAACGUCGUGAGACAGUUUGGUCCUUAUCUGUUGCGGGCGUAGGAUAUUUGAGGAGAGCUGUUCCUAGUACGAGAGGACCGGAAUGGACGAACCGAUGGUGUUCCAGUUGUCGCGCCAGCGGCAUGGCUGGGUAGCUAUGUUCGGCAGGGAUAACCGCUGAAAGCAUCUAAGCGGGAAGCCCACUCCAAGAUUAGAUAUCCCGUGGGGUAAUACCCACCUCAAGGCUCGUUGUAGACUACAACGUUGAUAGGUCAGGUGUGGAAGUGUAGCAAUACAUGAAGCUUACUGAUACUAAUUGGCCGUGCGGCUUAACCAU